AAGUCGUAACAAGGUUUCCGUAGGUGAACCUGCGGAAGGAUCAUUCAUAAUCAAGUGUUUUUAUGGCACUUUCAAAAAUCCAUAUCCACCUUGUGUGCAAUGUCAUCUCUCUGGGGGCUGCCGGCUGUCAAAAGCCGUGUGGUCACCUUUGGGAUUUAUAUCUACUCAGAACUUUAGUGAUUUUGUCUGAAACAUAUUAUGAAUACUUAAUUCAAAAUACAACUUUCAACAACGGAUCUCUUGGCUCUC
Molecule: unclassified non-coding RNA, 249 nt
Filed under: Mortierella alpina
Lineage: Eukaryota; Fungi; Mortierellomycota; Mortierellomycetes; Mortierellales; Mortierellaceae
Also listed under: 5 other names
Description: partial contains small subunit ribosomal RNA, internal transcribed spacer 1, and 5.8S ribosomal RNA
Rfam family: Eukaryotic small subunit ribosomal RNA (bases 1-46)
Source: RNAcentral